RNAcentral lists this ribosomal RNA (794 nucleotides) under uncultured bacterium. Its description in RNAcentral is "bacterial SSU rRNA". It matches the Rfam family "Bacterial small subunit ribosomal RNA", at positions 60 to 868 of the family's 1533-position model. The record is from RNAcentral.
AGUCGACGAGCGAGAGAGAGCUUGCUUUCUCGAGCGAGUGGCGAACGGGUGAGUAACGCGUGAGGAACCUGCCUCAAAGAGGGGGACAACAGUUGGAAACGACUGCUAAUACCGCAUAAGCCCACGGGUCGGCAUCGGCCAGAGGGAAAAGGAGCAAUCCGCUUUGAGAUGGCCUCGCGUCCGAUUAGCUAGUUGGUGAGGUAAUGGCCCACCAAGGCGACGAUCGGUAGCCGGACUGAGAGGUUGAACGGCCACAUUGGGACUGAGACACGGCCCAGACUCCUACGGGAGGCAGCAGUGGGGAAUAUUGCACAAUGGGGGAAACCCUGAUGCAGCGACGCCGCGUGGAGGAAGAAGGUCUUCGGAUUGUAAACUCCUGUUGUUGAGGAAGAUAAUGACGGUACUCAACAAGGAAGUGACGGCUAACUACGUGCCAGCAGCCGCGGUAAAACGUAGGUCACAAGCGUUGUCCGGAAUUACUGGGUGUAAAGGGAGCGCAGGCGGGAAGACAAGUUGGAAGUGAAAUCUAUGGGCUCAACCCAUAAACUGCUUUCAAAACUGUUUUUCUUGAGUAGUGCAGAGGUAGGCGGAAUUCCCGGUGUAGCGGUGGAAUGCGUAGAUAUCGGGAGGAACACCAGUGGCGAAGGCGGCCUACUGGGCACCAACUGACGCUGAGGCUCGAAAGUGUGGGUAGCAAACAGGAUUAGAUACCCUAGUAGUCCACACCGUAAACGAUGAUUACUAGGUGUUGGAGGAUUGACCCCUUCAGUGCCGCAGUUAACACAAUAAGUAAU